UCUUUUUUGGCGAAAUUGGUAAACGCUUGGACUUUAAAAGUCCAUCUCUUCUGGAGUUUAGGGUUCAAAUCCCUAAAAAAGAA
RNAcentral lists this transfer RNA (83 nucleotides) under Phaeocystis rex. RNAcentral's name for it is "tRNA-Leu". It matches the Rfam family "tRNA". From Rfam's summary of the family: Transfer RNA (tRNA) molecules are approximately 80 nucleotides in length. Their secondary structure includes four short double-helical elements and three loops (D, anti-codon, and T loops). Lineage: Eukaryota; Haptophyta; Phaeocystales; Phaeocystaceae. The record is from RNAcentral.